RNAcentral lists this ribosomal RNA (253 nucleotides) under uncultured bacterium. RNAcentral describes it as "partial 16S ribosomal RNA". It matches the Rfam family "Bacterial small subunit ribosomal RNA", at positions 524 to 776 of the family's 1533-position model. The record is from RNAcentral.
UACGUAGGUGGCAAGCGUUGUCCGGAUCUACUGGGCGUAAAGGAUGCGUAGGCGGACAUUUAAGUCAGAUGUGAAAUACCCGAGCUUAACUUGGGUGCUGCAUUUGAAACUGGGUGUCUAGAGUGCAGGAGAGGUAAGUGGAAUUCCUAGUGUAGCGGUGAAAUGCGUAGAGAUUAGGAAGAACAUCAGUGGCGAAGGCGACUUACUGGACUGUAACUGACGCUGAGGCAUGAAAGCGUGGGGAGCAAACAGG